CCUACGGGUGGCAGCAGUGGGGAAUAUUGCACAAUGGGGGAAACCCUGAUGCAGCGACGCCGCGUGAGUGAAGAAGUAUUUCGGUAUGUAAAGCUCUGUCAGCAGGGAAGAAAAUGACGGUAACUGACCAAUAAGCCCCGGCUAACUACGUGCCAGCAGCCGCGGUCAUACGUAGGGGGCAAGCGUUAUCCGGAUUGACUGGGUGUAAAGGGUGCGUAGACGGAAGGGCAAGUCUGGAGUGAAAGGCGGGGGCUCAACCCCCGGACUGCUCUGGAAACUGCCAGGCUGGAGUGCAGGAGGGGUAAGUGGAAUUCCUAGUGUAGCAGUGAAAUGCGUAGAUAUUAGGAGGAACACCAGUGGCGAAGGCGGCUUACUGGACUGUAACUGACGUUGAGGCUCGAAAGCGUGGGGAGCAAACGGGAUUAGAUACCCGGGUAGUC
Molecule: ribosomal RNA, 440 nt
Filed under: uncultured bacterium
Lineage: Bacteria
Description: partial 16S ribosomal RNA
Rfam family: Bacterial small subunit ribosomal RNA
Source: RNAcentral